UACGUAGGGUGCGAGCGUUGUCCGGAAUUACUGGGCGUAAAGAGCUCGUAGGUGGUUUGUCGCGUUGUCCGUGAAAACUCACAGCUUAACUGUGGGCGUGCGGGCGAUACGGGCAGACUGGAGUACUGCAGGGGAGGACUGGAAUUCCUGGUGUAGCGGUGGAAUGCGCAGAUAUCAGGAGGAACACCGGUGGCGAAGGCGGGUC
RNAcentral lists this ribosomal RNA (205 nucleotides) under uncultured bacterium. RNAcentral describes it as "partial 16S ribosomal RNA". It matches the Rfam family "Bacterial small subunit ribosomal RNA", at positions 524 to 727 of the family's 1533-position model. The record is from RNAcentral.